RNAcentral lists this ribosomal RNA (492 nucleotides) under uncultured bacterium. RNAcentral describes it as "partial 16S ribosomal RNA". It matches the Rfam family "Bacterial small subunit ribosomal RNA", at positions 29 to 507 of the family's 1533-position model. The record is from RNAcentral.
AUUGAACGCUGGCGGCAUGCUUUACACAUGCAAGUCGAGCGGUAACAGGCCUUCGGGUGCUGACGAGUGGCGAACGGGUGAGUAAUGCAUCGGAACGUACCCAGAGGUGGGGGAUAACGCAGCGAAAGCUGUGCUAAUACCGCAUGUGAUCUGAGGAUGAAAGCGGGGGACCGAGCAGCAAUGUUUGGCCUCGCGCCUUUGGAGCGGCCGAUGUCGGAUUAGCUAGUUGGUGGGGUAAAGGCCUACCAAGGCGACGAUCCGUAGCUGGUCUGAGAGGACGACCAGCCACACUGGGACUGAGACACGGCCCAGGCUCCUACGGGAGGCAGCAGUGGGGAAUUUUGGACAAUGGGCGCAAGCCUGAUCCAGCAAUGCCGCGUGCGGGAAGAAGGCCUUCGGGUUGUAAAGCGCUUUUGGCAGGAACGAAACGGUGUCCGCUAAUACCGGGCGCUAAUGACGGUACCUGCAGAAUAAGCACCGGCUAACUACGUG